GAUGAACGCUGGCGGCGUGCCUAAUACAUGCAAGUCGAGCGAACGGACGAGAAGCUUGCUUCUCUGAUGUUAGCGGCGGACGGGUGAGUAACACGUGGAUAACCUACCUAUAAUACUGGGAUAACUUCGGGAAACCGGCGCUAAUACCGGAUAAUAUUCUGAACCGCAUGGUUCAAAAGUGAAAGACGGUCUUGCUGUCACUUAUAGCUGGAUCCGCGCUGCAUUAGCUAGUUGGUAAGGUAACGGCUUAUCAAGGCAACGAUGCAUAGCCGACCUGAGAGAGGGAUAGGCCACACGAGAGCGUAGACGCGCACAAGGGGACUACGAGAGGCAGCAGUAGGCAAUGGUAGGCAGUAGGGGAGAAUCUGACGGAACAGGGGGACGUGUGUGGCAGCGAUGUUGGGAUCGUGAAAAUCGGUUACUAGUGGAGAACAUAUGUGUACGGAAAUGUAGAGAGCGUGACGGUAACGAAUCAGAAAGCCACGGCUAACUACGUG
This 497-nucleotide ribosomal RNA is filed under the name uncultured bacterium. RNAcentral's name for it is "partial 16S ribosomal RNA". It matches the Rfam family "Bacterial small subunit ribosomal RNA", at positions 28 to 507 of the family's 1533-position model. The record is from RNAcentral.